RNAcentral lists this long non-coding RNA (853 nucleotides) under Chelonoidis abingdonii (Abingdon island giant tortoise). RNAcentral describes it as "lncRNA (ENSCABG00000004230.1)". The record is from RNAcentral. Lineage: Eukaryota; Metazoa; Chordata; Testudines; Testudinidae.
CUGGAGCUGUACCUCCCAGCUAAGAAGGAGCACAGCGCUGGACACUAGGGGGCCAGAGAAACUCUUUUGCAGGGAGCAGCUCGGUGGGGUUGGUACAAGGGCAGCAGCUGCAUCCAAAGACACAGUGACAGGAGAGGAACAAACUGUGAGGAACAUUUGUUGCUCAACCUCCUCCCUUCUGAGUCUCCGGCGAGAGAGCUGGUGGGGUUCAUGCCCAAGCCCGUCUGUCUAGGGAGCGAACAAAUGGGCAACAAGCGGAAGAAACUUUGCAUCUGCCUGGUAGGUGCCUUCGUCCUCAUAUUAGCUGCCAUAUUAAUCGCUCUCACCUGCUAUGUGGUCGAGUGCCAGGGGCAGCUGAAGACCUCAGAUCUGGAUGAGAAACUCGCCAACCUGGAGGAGGAGAAGGGGGCCCUGGAAAAGCAGCGGGAUGGGGCGAGGGCAGAGGUCACGGCUCUGCGGUCAGACCUGGCCGGCACCAAUCAGACCCAUCUGGGAGACGCGCGGGCGCUGGGACUCCUGCAGGAGCCUGACGCAUAACCUGCAGAACAACAUCACUGCCCUGAGCGACAAAAUAACACGGCUGGAAGCCAGAGACUCUGAGCGGGAGGCCAAGGAACAGGGUUUACAAGAUGAAAAUGGCAGGCUCAGAGAGCAGCUCUCCAGCCAGUCCCAGCAGCUGCAGGAUUCCCAGAAAGAAUUCCAGAAGCAAAGAGAUCAGCUCAACGCUAACAUCCAUUGGCUGAAAAUGGAGCUCCAAAGCCAGAGAAAUCAGCGCUCCAGCACGGACAGCCUCAGCGGUCACAGUGUGUCUCUCUGCCUGGCUCUGCCCCUCCUUGGGACUCUUCUCCUUUAA